CGAUGAUAGCUUGCUAUCAGGCGUCGAGCGGCGGACGGGUGAGUAAUACUUAGGAAUCUACCUAGUAGUGGGGGAUAGCUCGGGGAAACUCGAAUUAAUACCGCAUACGACCUACGGGAGAAAGGGGGCAACUUGUUGCUCUCGCUAUUAGAUGAGCCUAAGUCGGAUUAGCUAGAUGGUGGGGUAAAGGCCUACCAUGGCGACGAUCUGUAGCUGGUCUGAGAGGAUGAUCAGCCACACCGGGACUGAGACACGGCCCGGACUCCUACGGGAGGCAGCAGUGGGGAAUAUUGGACAAUGGGGGCAACCCUGAUCCAGCCAUGCCGCGUGUGUGAAGAAGGCCUUUUGGUUGUAAAGCACUUUAAGCAGUGAAGAAGACUCCGUGGUUAAUACCCACGGACGAUGACAUUAGCUGCAGAAUAAGCACCGGCUAACUCUGUGCCAGCAGCCGCGGUAAUACAGAGGGUGCAAGCGUUAAUCGGAAUUACUGGGCGUAAAGCGAGCGUAGGUGGCUUGAUAAGUCAGAUGUGAAAUCCCCGGGCUUAACCUGGGAACUGCAUCUGAUACUGUUAGGCUAGAAUAGGUGAGAGGAAGGUAGAAUUCCAGGUGUAGCGGUGAAAUGCGUAGAGAUCUGGAGGAAUACCGAUGGCGAAGGCAGCCUUCUGGCAUCAUAUUGACACUGAGGUUCGAAAGCGUGGGUAGCAAACAGGAUUAGAUACCCUGGUAGUCCACGCCGUAAACGAUGUCUACUAGUCGUUGGGUCCCUUGAGGACUUAGUGACGCAGCUAACGCAAUAAGUAGACCGCCUGGGGAGUACGGCCGCAAGGUUAAAACUCAAAUGAAUUGACGGGGGCCCGCACAAGCGGUGGAGCAUGUGGUUUAAUUCGAUGCAACGCGAAGAACCUUACCUGGUCUUGACAUAUCUAGAAUCCUGCAGAGAUGCGGGAGUGCCUUCGGGAAUUAGAAUACAGGUGCUGCAUGGCUGUCGUCAGCUCCUGUCCUGAGAUGUUGGGUUAAGUCCCGCAACGAGCGCAA
This 1035-nucleotide ribosomal RNA is filed under the name Psychrobacter maritimus. RNAcentral describes it as "bacterial SSU rRNA". It matches the Rfam family "Bacterial small subunit ribosomal RNA", at positions 69 to 1101 of the family's 1533-position model. Lineage: Bacteria; Pseudomonadati; Pseudomonadota; Gammaproteobacteria; Moraxellales; Moraxellaceae. The record is from RNAcentral.